RNAcentral lists this long non-coding RNA (8712 nucleotides) under Homo sapiens (human). RNAcentral describes it as "non-protein coding APCDD1L-DT:25". Lineage: Eukaryota; Metazoa; Chordata; Mammalia; Primates; Hominidae. The record is from RNAcentral.
AGCGGAGCUGCGCACUCAUAGGUCCAACUUGCCAGAAGAGGUGGAGACAGCCCCCGGCGAGGCGCGCACACCCGCGCAGCGCGCACAGCCCCCUGGUGCAGCUCCUGCCAUUCAGACCCCCAGCCCUCCCCCAGAUGUCCGUCCCCUGGCCGUCGCCUUCCCCAAAGUCUUCGCAGUGGGCAAGGAGGCCUCCCCCAAGCUCUGGUCCCGGCCAAGGCAGAGCGAUGCGCUCCUUGCGUCAAAGCGCACCCCUAGCCAGGCCGUUCCCUGGAAGGGCAAGCGGGGCGGGGAGUUCCUCUAAGCCCCGCCAGUCCUGGGACCCCUGAAGUUUCUAUUCAGGUCUUCCAGCUACUCCUGGAAAAGUCGCGUCAACUUGGAUCCCAGCAAACCCAGAAGCGCAGUGAAAGUGGCCAACCCGGUCGCCUAGAAGCCAGCCCCGGCCUCUGUCUGUAAAUGAGGCCGUCACCCGCUCCCCACCACACCCAAACGCAUCUAGGCAAAGUGUGGACCCGACCAGGCGGGUUUUCCUCCUUCUCGCAACUCCUCCUCCUGCCCCCCUCCCUCCCAAAUCUCAUCUGAGUGAGUCAGCUGAGGGUGGCAGCUCAGAAGCGAGGCAGCCGUGAGGCGGAGGACAGGCUGGGGGAUCCCAAAGGGUGCGCUCCAGCCCCCAACCCAGGCACUGGGACUCUGGUGGCACCCUGGGUGGCAGGCAAGCCUUGAAAUCAAGUGCACGAGCCUUGGAAAGGAGGACCGGGAGAGUUAUGGCAUUUAUGAAUGAAGAAGAGAAAGAGAAUCACUCGGAUGGGAAAAGUUAACUGGAUUGUUCCCACCUGCAUGGAUCACCGGGAUGAAGCUGUGCCACCCUGUAGGAAUUAGAAGACCAUGUCCAGGAAUUGAGCACUGGGUGCAGGAUCCAGUCUUCUGAGGCCCUGAAACCACAUGGUGAGAAGUUGAAGGUCACACAGCUGGUAUGCAAUGGAGCCUGGAUGGAAACCUGGUCCGGGCUGGAAAGACUGGCUCCUCAGCUUGAACCUAAAAUACCUAGGUCUUGAAUGGCAUCUUGUUCACCUGCCUCUGGGAAGGCAGGUUGUGGAAAUACCUUGGGCUGUCUGGGAACUCACCCUCCAGCCCUUAAACCUGUAUAGGUAUUCUUGCUCUAUCUGGCUAUUGUGUGUAUGGUGGGGGCUGGGGGAUGAUGGCAUUGGAGGGCUUAUCCUAGCACCUGGCACAUAAAUGUUAAGUGAAUAUAUUUUGAAUGAAUGUAUGAAUUCGGUAGAUGAAUGGAUGAGUGGGUGGGUGAGUGGGUGGGUGGAUAAAUGGAUGGGUUGGUGGGUAGGUGGAUAGAUGUGUGACUGGGUGAGUGGAUGGGUGGAUGGGCUAAUGGGUGGAUGGGUGGGUGGGUAGAUGGAUGGAUGAAUGGGUGAAUAGAUGGAUAGGUGGAUGGAGAGCAAGAUGGAUGGAUGGAUGGAUGAAUAGAUGAAUGGGUGGAUGGGUGGGUAGGUGGGUGGAUGAGUGGAUGGGUGGUAAGUGGGUGAAUGGGUUAAUGGGUGGAUGAGUGGGGGGAUGGAUGGAUAGAUGGAUGAAUGGGUGAAUGGGUGGGUGGAUGGAUAGAUGGAUGGAUGAGUGAGUGGGUGAAUGGAAGGGUAGUGUAUGGGUGGGUGGGUGGAUGGGUGGGUGGGUGGAUGACUAACACUCCAGUUGCCAUAAUUGUUGCUCUGGGGUGGUGCUCACACUGAAUGGUUUGUUAAUUUAUUAGUAACAAUUCAUUAGUGUGUUAACUCAAGCGGUGGAGACACAUCUUAAUCCCUGCACUUAAGAGGUGCUUUCCCACAAAGGCGGGGCCUUGUGUUCUUCCUGUGAACAGCCAUAGCACCAGCGUGAGAGGCAGGUGCUGUCGAGCGAAGAGCAAAUGCCUGCUCUUAUGUGGCCAGCCUUCUUUGCCUGGGAGGUUUGGGGAUUUGUUUUUGUUAAAUUUCUGGGUCCCCAGCCCAGCUCAAACCCCUCAUUGAUGCCUGAGCCACUCAUAGCAGGCUAUGGAAUGGCAGCUGAGCAGCUGGGUCUGGCACCAAUAGCUUCAUCAACAUGACACCCAGACAUCCCUCUGGUCGUGGAGCUGACCGUUUGAUGCUAUAUAGACCCACCAGGGCUUGCAGAUGGUCUGUAGAAAGAAUGGGCUGGCUUGGUUCAUUUUACUUGGGAGGCAAGAAAAUUCAGCCUGAGCAAGGGCUUCUGUUGAUGCAGGAUGGAGGAGAGGCUGCCCCGCUCAUGGCAGAAGGAAGGCUUUGGGCGUCUAAUGGGGCUCAUGUCUUGGUGACGCCCUUCAUGAGGUACAUGACUUUGGGCCUUUGGGCACAGCCUUCUGAGCUUUGUGUUGCUCACCUGCAAAGGGAGAAUCCUCAGGUUUUGGGGAGAAUGCAAUGAGAUGACACAAGUAAAGCCCUCAGUGUGGGGCCUGGUGGGCUGUGGAGCCUGGUGGGCUGCAGGUCCUUGGUAAGAGGGCAGAUGUCACCAUUAUUUCUGAGGGGACUGGGUAGGUUUGUGGAUGAGUGGCUCACAUCACCCAAGACCCCAUGUUGGGCUCAGCACUGCAGGGUGUUGGAGCUGGGAGGCCUCUGCAGACCAGGUCCACUCAUUUUCAAAUGGCCUCUUGGGAGCCACCUAGAGAGGAGAGGACAGGGAAGGGAGGCAGAGAGGCCAGUCUCUGAGCCUCCUCCUCCCCCGUGUCAUCUCAGGGUCACCAUAGUGCGCUUCAUGGGGUGGGAAGUGGUGGCCUCUAAGUGUCUAUCAACUGUGAAGACUGCAAAGAGGGAUCCAUGGCUGUUGGAGCAAUGAGAUACGCGAUGACGUAGACAGAUCCGGAAAGCGCAUCGUCUCCUGAGCAGAAGGGCACUCAUGUAAGCCCAGACCACAAACCUGCACGCAAGUGUUGCAUGCAUUUAACUUGUGUGUGUCUAAGGCAAUCCAUCAGACAUACUCCAGGGGAUGUCUUUCAGGAGGAAGAAGGAAGGAAAUGGGUGUGGAGAUGGAAGAGGGGCAAAGGGAAAAAUUUAUACAAUAAAAUAAGACAGAUGAGGGUCCCAACAUAGACCAAGGUUGUUAGCAUGCCAUGGACUCAGUAAUGUUACAUGCAACUUUCUGUGUCUGCGGUCCGAAAAGUAUGAUAAGCAAAAGAGACUAUAGAGAGACUGAGGCACAGCAAGGGGCAGGGGGAUGGCCAAAAUGGUGGUUGGGUGUCACCCAGACACUCAGGUCCCUCUGGCCGUGGCACUGACAGUCCGGAGUGAUGUAGAUCCACCAGGGCUUGCAGAAGAGCAUGGUUCGGUGCCCAUUCUCUGAUGUCUGCUUGUGUGUGCAGAAGAGCUGCUUGGAGCAGGGUCUCACCUUUCCAUACCCAUCGGCUCCCCCCGCCGCCAUCCACCAGCUGGGUCGCAAGAAAAGGCAAAAGCUAUUGUGACAGCUUCCUUGUUUUGAGAGGCUUUUGUCGAAGGAGGGAAAAAGAAAAGUCAGGAAACAUGUGUGGCUUCAAAUUAUGUCAGUUAUAAAGUUUAUUGUUAGCCCCCAUUAUAAAAAUCAAUAUAUGCUCCUCAUAUAGGAUUUUAAAAGCACUAAGUUUAUUAUUUCUCUCUCAUUGUAAAAUUAACAGUGGUCCUAAUAUGCUAUUUAGAAAAUACAAAGUGGAAAGAAGAAAAAUGAAAGUCACGCAUCGUCCUUCAACCCGGGGACAACUCCUGCUAACACUCGGAUGGAUGAAUUUCACAUAUACAUAUAAAUAUUCUCAUCUACAGUCAAAUUUAAUAAUGUGAAUGCCUUAAUAAACCACUAAUUCUUCAAUUUCAUCUUUUGGGUUAAUUUCCUAGUCUUUAAGGAACUGUUAGAUGCAACGCUACGGGUAGUAGGGGAAGGACACGAAAAAAGAAAUCUUAUUUUUUGGCCAAAAUAUCCUGCAUAUUGGAUUUGCCUUUGUUUUGUUUUGUUUUGCUUUGAGCCUUCUGCCUUGUUAGGCAGCUGUUUGUAUACUUUCCUCUGCUUUGGAUUUCAGUCUGGAAGCAGCACAUUGAUUUUAAACAGAAAUACCUUAAAAGAGGUGGUGUUUGGGGGUUUACAAUCCCCCCACCAUCAGCUUGCAAGUGGUUCUGUUCCGGCUGGCACGUUACACCAGUAAGAGGCUUGGUGUAUCACCCAGGGAGCAGGUUAGCUAAAUUCAAGGUGAACAGACGGCAUUCUCUGUUUCUCUUCUGGCUGUCUGCCUAGUUUGGGGUCUUGGGGAAUUGGAGAAGCAAAAUUUGGGGGCUGGGAUCUUGGACAAGUGCUCACACCACAACCCAAGCCUAAGACCUUAUUUUUCCCUUCCUUCCCUCUUCUUUUUUUUUCAGUUUACAAUUAACACUCAGGGUUUAGUCUCCACCCCUCCCUCUUGAAAUAGAAUUUUUAUCUCUUGAUUCAUGCUACAAGAUAAAAUCCAUGUUUAUCCAGUUUCAUGAAUAAUUGAUAAGCUCUUUCCAACUUGUCAGAAGCAACUUAGCCGUCUCGCCUUGCGGCCUGGAACCCCUGGCAAUUUCCGGAGCACCGGCAAGAGACUUUUGCACAGUUUCUGCUUGGAGUCUACCGACUGUCUGUCUCAGAGGUCUGGACAGCUGCUUGUUACAUUUGGCUCACGCUAGCUUAAAAAAGGAAUUUAUGGACCUUACUGCAGAACGUCCCAAUUCUUCAGGCCAAGCUCCAGGAAAUUAAGAAACAUGCCAUUAGUUUUAGCAAACAAUUUGAACAAAGUAAAACCAGAUCUCCCACCAAAGGCCGAGGACCAUGAGGGGUCUGAGUGCCCCUGGCCCUGUUUGUGGACUCUGCGGGUCGUGGAGGAGCCAUGAAGUGGGAAGAGAGCUUGGGUGAUACAGGAUGGUGUGCGUGACAGUCCUCCCUGUGUCUUCUUUGCUACCAUAUUUAUCAUAGCUUAGAUGUGUGUGGCCUGGUGGCACCAAAGGUGAACAGAAAGCAUUUUUGGGGCGCCAUGGCCCAGACCUCAGCCUGAACGUUGUGGGAAGCCAGUGGGUGUCUGCAUGUGUUGGCGAGAACCAGUGGGCAUCUCCUUGGAAGCCAGUCCCCAAGGUGGCUCUAGAUGGCUUACUCCUGCAUCUUGCCAAAUCCACAGGGUCCAGCUGUGUCUCCAGGGCUGCGUGGCUUAUUGAAAAAGAGAGUGUAUGGUGGAUUUCAAUAUCUAUAUUCUACAAAAAAUGUAAAAGGGGCAGGGGACGGGAACAAAGAAACCAGUGCUGGUGAUCCUGCCCCCACAGUAAGGUCUGCUUUAGUGUGGACAUGGGACAGGGGCCAGCCCCUGCUGCUCCCUGGGGGAACACAGGUCCGUGGGGGUGGCUCACCGUCAUGUAUGUGAUUUUGAUGUUUGUACAUUUGUUGUACCACAUGAACCAGUCUUGGACGGCUGUUCUGAGUAAAUGGGAUGAUGUGGGUAAAGCCCCCAAGACCAGAGCCUGGCACAGGGCCGUGCUGGAUAAUGCUGACUCAUGGUGAUGAGGGGAAGGAGGAGGCAGGAUGCCAUGGGUGAGGAGUCCAGGCUCCAGUGCUGCUGAACCACCAUCCACCAGUAUGAUCUCAGCAAGCCUCUCUCCACCUGGACCCAGAUGAUUCACCCGUUAAACAUCCCAGGCACAUUGAAGGGAGAUGAACAGCGUCCAGCAUGGUCCUCAGCUGUGAGAAGCCAUACACUCGCCUUUUCCACCCUACAACUUUCCGUCAUCUGGGGUGCAGGUUUCUUUCCUCUCUUUUUACUUAUUACAAGGUAAAAUACAGUCUUAUUACAGAAAACUAGAAACCAGAAAAGCCCAUCACACAGUCAUUCAUUCAACAAAUGCGUAUUGGGAAGGGUGGGGAUGAGCCCCUGGUGGAAAUGGGGUGAAGCUGUGGACUUUCUCUGGGUGCGAUGAAGGCUGACGGAGGGCUUUGAGCAUCCUCAAGAUUCAGAAGUCUGUUCUCAGUCAUCAGCAGCUGUACCAGGAGAGGAAGAACCUCUGAAGUGUUCUGGCUCCAAAAGCUAGUGAAAGUGCAGAUUUCCUGAGAAGGAGUGAAGCUUAGGGCCCUGCCAGGCAGUGAUGCUUUCUCAACUUUGGGGGCAGUAAAAUGUACAGACUCUGGGGAAGGAGACCAGGAAGGAGGCUGCAAAGUGUGCAUGCUCUGGGAAGGGGGCAGGGAAGGCUGGCAAAAAGCUGUUGGGGACCCAGCCAGGCUGCUUCCCUUGGAGGCCCAGCCUGAGAUGUGUUUCCCACCAUAUAUGGCAGAAAUGAUUUCAGGUGCUAUGUAGAUAAGCCACGAACUAUCAUUGAAUCUUUUCUUGGUUGUAUUGUGAAAGAAAAAGUCUCUGUUGGGUGCUGGUGUAUCUUCGACACCACUUAACACUUGUCAAGCUCUCCUUUACUGAGGUAAAGCAGUCCUCAGGCUCAGAGCUUGUGACCAGGGAGCGGUAUCUAGCCAAAAUUUUAUUUCAAUGCUUUGUUUUCAUUGUCUUUAAAACAAAAGAUGGUUAUCUUCCAUUUGCCAUGAAAGAUACUGCUUCCCAUUUCUGUUUUUUACUCAUUUUUCAUUAAGGUAUAAUUUGCAUGCAGUAAAGUCUCGUCUUUUUAGUGUACAGUUCUGUGGAAUUUCGAUAAAUGUAUCCAGUGUGCAACCAUCACAUCAAGAUAUAGAAGGGUUCCUUCACCCCUAAAUCCUUCCUUGGGGAUGACAACCUCUCUUCACCCUCAGUCCUUUGCAACUAAUAAUCUGUUUUCUUUUCCUAUAGUUUUGUCUUUUCUAGCAUGUCCCAUAAAUGGAAUCUUAUAGCACGUAGCCUUUUGAGUCUUGCUUCUCUCACUUAGCAGAAUGCAUCUGAUAUCCAUUCACAUUGUGCCUGUAUCAGUAGUUCAUUCAUUUUUAAUAAUGAGUGGUGUUCAGUUGUAGGCCUACACUAUAAUUUGUAGAGGGACAUUAGGAUUGUUUCCAGAUUUGGCAGUUACAAAUAAAGCCCCUAUAAACAUUCACGUACAAGUUUUUCAUGAGCAUGGGUUUUCAUUUCUCUUGGGUAAGUACCGAUAAGUAGGAUUGCUAUGUUGUCUAAUACAUGCAUGUUUAACUUUGUAAGAAAUGGCCAAGCUGUUUUUCAGAGUGGCUAUACUAUUUUGCAUUCCUACCAGCAAUGUACGAGAGUUCCAGUUGCUCCAUAUCCUCAUCAGCACUUGAUGUUGUCAGAUUUUUUUUUUUGUUUUUGUUAGUCUAAUGGGUAUGUACUAGUAUCUCACUGUGGUUUUAGUUUGUAUUUUCCUGAUGACUAAUGAUGUUUAACACCUUUUUAUGGGCUUAUUUAAAAUCACUAUAUUUUCUUUGGUGAAGAUUUCAAACCUUUUGCCCAUUUUAAAAUUCGAAUUGUUUGUGUUUUAUUAUUGAACUUAUUGAGUAUUUACAUAUUCUGGAUACAAGUUCUUUUCUAGAUAUGUUAUUAGCAAAUUAUUCUGCUAGCUUUCUUAUUAAUUUUCUUAAUGAUGUCUCUUGGAGAUUGUAUUAAUUAGUCUGUUCUCAUGCUGCUAAUAAAGACAUACCUGAGACUGAGUAAUUUAUAAAGGAAAGAGGUUUAAUUGACUCACAGUUCAGCAAGGCUGGGGGAGCCUCAGGAAAUGUACAAUCAUGGAGGAAGGGGAAGCAAAUAUGUCUUUCUUCACAUGGCAGCAGGAAGGAGAAAUGCCAAGCAAAAGGGGGAAAAGCCCCUUAUAAAACCAUCAGAUCUCGUGAGAACUCACUCACUAUCACAAGAGCAGCAGCAUGGAGGUAACUGCCCCCAUGAUUCAAUUACCUCCCACCAGAUCCCUCCCAUGACAUGUGGAGAUUUUGGGAACUACAAUUCAAGAUGAGAGCUGGGUGGGAACACAGCCAAACCAUAUCAGAGAUCAUAGGUUGUUAAUUUUGAUCAAGUAUAAUUUAUCAAUUUUUUCUUUUGUGGAUUAUAUUUUUGGGGCCAUAUCUGAGAAAUAUUUACUUAAUCUAGGGUCACAAAGAUUAUCUUCUAUGUUUUCUCCUGAAGGUUUUAUAGUUUAAAGUUUUACAUUGAAGUCUAUUAUCUAUUUUGAGUGAAUAUUUUGAUAUAGUGUGAUAUAUGAAUGGAGGUUCAUUUUAAAAAUAAAUAUCCAAUUAUUCCAACCCCAUUGGUUGAGAAGACUACUUUUUCUCUACUUAAUUGCCUUUGCAACUGUGUCCUAAAUCAACUGACCCACUCUGUAUAGGCCUAUAUCUGGACUUUAUAGUCUAUUGCGUUGGUCUAUAUGUCUGCCCUUUCUCUAAUUCCACAUUCUCUUGAAUAUCUUACCUUUGUACUAAAUCAGGUAGGGUGACUUUAUUUAAAAUAUAUUCUUCUGGCCAGCUGUGGUGGGUCACAUCUGUAAUCCCAGCACUCUGGGAGGCCAAGGUGGGAGAAUUGGUUGAGGCCAGGACUUCACAAACAGCCUGGGCAUCAUAGGGAGACCCCCAUCUCUACAAAAAAUAAUUUUUAAAAAAUUAACUGAGCGUGGUGACACAGGCCUGUAGUCCCACCUACUUAAAGGGCUGAGGUGGGAGGAUUGUUUGAGCCAGGAGUUCGGGGCUGCAGUGAGCUAUGAUUGUGCUACUGGAUUCCAGCCUGGGCAACAGAGCAAGACCUUGUCUCCAAAAAAUAUUUUAUAUACAUACAUACAUAUAUAU